RNAcentral lists this ribosomal RNA (405 nucleotides) under uncultured bacterium. RNAcentral's name for it is "partial 16S ribosomal RNA". It matches the Rfam family "Bacterial small subunit ribosomal RNA", at positions 30 to 526 of the family's 1533-position model. The record is from RNAcentral.
AUUGAACGCUAGCGGGAUGCUUUACACAUGCAAGUCGAACGAGUGGCGGACGGGUGAGUAAUAUAGCGGAACGUGCCCAGUAGCGGGGGAUAACUACUCGAAAGAGUGGCUAAUACCACAUCCUCAUGGAGCGGCCGAUGUCGGAUGAGCUAGUUGGUGGGGUAAAGGCUCACCAAGGCCACGAUCCGUAGCUGGUUUGAGAGGAAGACCAGCCACACUGGGACUGAGACACGGCCCAGACUCCUACGGGAGGCAGCAGUGGGGAAUUUUGUACAAUGGGGGAAACCCUGAUCCAGCCAUCCCGCGUGUAUGAGAAGGCCUUCGGGUUGUAAAGUACUUUUGGCAGAGAAGCGGUAUCUGCAGAAUAAGCACCGGCUAACUACGUGCCAGCAGCCGCGGUAAUAC